Molecule: ribosomal RNA, 484 nt
Filed under: uncultured bacterium
Lineage: Bacteria
Description: partial 16S ribosomal RNA
Rfam family: Bacterial small subunit ribosomal RNA
Source: RNAcentral
AUUGAACGCUGGCGGCAUGCUUUACACAUGCAAGUCGAACGGCCGCGCGGGCUUCUUCCUGGCGGCGCGUGGCGAACGGGUGAGUGAUUAAUCGGAACGUGACCUGUAGUUGGGGCUAGCCCGGCUAAAGCCGGACUAAUACCGCACACGACCUGAGGGUGAAAGCGGGGGACCGAUAGGCAUAGCGCUUUUUGCUCGCCCGAUGCCGCAUUAGCUAGUUGGUUUGGUAAAGGCUUACCAAGGCGACGAUCCGUAGCUGGCCUGAGAAGCCGACCUGCCACACUGGAACUGAGACACGGCCCAGACUCCUACGGGAGGCAGCAGUGGGGAAUUUUGGACAAUGGGGGCAAGCCUGACCGAGCAAUGCCGCGUGAGGGAAGAAGGUCUUCGGGUCGUAAACCGCUGUUAUUAGGGAAGAAAAACUCUGGACUAAUACACCGGGGGGAUGACGGUACCGGAAGAGUAAGCACCGGCUAACUACGUG